UUGAUUUACACGGCCAGAGCCUGGGGACACGGCCAGAGAUCAAAUCUGUUUAUGUAAGGGUGUUUAAGCUAUGGGUGAGAGCUUCAGAGGACUGAGAUGUUGAAGAGAUCUACCCUGGUGUGUUCCCAUGGAGCUCAACACGCCUAAUAAGAACCAUCUUAUCUCCACCUCCAUUUCUCAAUUUGAGAUACAGCGCCAGAAUAGUUAGACAAAUCAAAUGAGAGACAUUGCUUCCACGAGGGUGAAAAAAAUUUGUGUAAAAUCUGUCGAAUUGAGCAAAGUGAAGAUGAAGCAGGAGGUGAUUGGGUGACGUUUAUUUCUAAUGUUGCUGAUGCCUUGAACUUUGAAUCAUCCAUCAUUGAAGAACACACUCUGAGGAGCAGAAACUAAUGGUGGAUCCUGGCACAAUCUCUUUUAUCUCAAAUGUACUGCAGAUCCCACAGGACAGUAACAAUGAUUUCGAGAAUAUGAAAUCUAUCGUUUGUGAUAAUUAUUCAGAACAGAAAAUGGGAGAACCAGCUAUACUUUCUGGCAGCCUACUGAAUAAGCUAGUUGUUAAUGAUGUGGCUGCUGAAGUGGAUGUCAAGGGGAAAAAAGCGUGAAUCCAGCUGCAAGGUAAAACUUCAGAUUACAUUUGUUGACUUAAUUAAUUGGUUAAUUUUCCCUUCACAUUCAUAGGGGAUUAGCCCAGUACCUUUUAACAUAUUUGAUUUUUAUCUUUGGCUUAAUGCUUAA
Hevea brasiliensis (rubber tree) is the source of this 735-nucleotide long non-coding RNA. RefSeq lists it as uncharacterized. The record is from RefSeq and is a predicted model, not a curated record. Lineage: Eukaryota; Viridiplantae; Streptophyta; Magnoliopsida; Malpighiales; Euphorbiaceae. The transcript is spliced from 2 exons.